CUACGGGUUGCUCCAGUGAGGAAUAUUGCACAAUGGGGGGAACCCUGAUGCAGCAACGCCGCGUGGAGGAUGACGCAUUUCGGUGUGUAAACUCCUUUUAUAUGUCAAGAAAAUGACGGUAGCAUAUGAAUAAGCACCGGCUAACUCCGUGCCAGCAGCCGCGGUAAUACGGAGGGUGCAAGCGUUACUCGGAAGCACUGGGCGUAAAGGACGCGUAGGCGGGUUGGAAAGUCAGGUGUGAAAUCCUACAGCUUAACUGUAGAACUGCACUUGAAACUUCUAAUCUAGAGUAUGGGAUGGGGAGAUGGAAUUAGUGGUGUAGGGGUAAAAUCCGUAGAUAUCACUAGGAAUACCUAAAGCGAAGGCGAUCUCCUGGAACAUUACUGACGCUAAGGCGUGAAAGCGUGGGGAGCAAACAGGAUUAGAUACCCUAGUAGUC
Molecule: ribosomal RNA, 439 nt
Filed under: uncultured bacterium
Lineage: Bacteria
Description: partial 16S ribosomal RNA
Rfam family: Bacterial small subunit ribosomal RNA
Source: RNAcentral